Molecule: ribosomal RNA, 253 nt
Filed under: uncultured bacterium
Lineage: Bacteria
Description: partial 16S ribosomal RNA
Rfam family: Bacterial small subunit ribosomal RNA
Source: RNAcentral
UACGAAGGGAGCUAGCGUUGUUCGGAAUCACUGGGCGUAAAGCGCGCGUAGGCGGCUUUGCAAGUCAGAGGUGAAAUCCCACAGCUUAACUGUGGAACUGCCUUUGAAACUGCAAGGCUAGAAUGUGAGAAGGGAUGGCGGAAUUCCUAAUGUAGAGGUGAAAUUCGUAGAUAUUAGGAGGAACACCUGUGGCGAAAGCGGCCAUCUGGAUCACAAUUGACGCUGAAGUGCGAAAGCGUGGGUAGCAAACAGG